RNAcentral lists this ribosomal RNA (253 nucleotides) under uncultured bacterium. Its description in RNAcentral is "partial 16S ribosomal RNA". It matches the Rfam family "Bacterial small subunit ribosomal RNA", at positions 524 to 776 of the family's 1533-position model. The record is from RNAcentral. RNAcentral also lists the same sequence under 1 other name.
UACGUAGGGUGCGAGCGUUAAUCGGAAUUACUGGGCGUAAAGCGUGCGCAGGCGGUUUUGUAAGACAGAUGUGAAAUCCCCGGGCUUAACCUGGGAACUGCAUUUGUGACUGCAAGACUAGAGUACGGCAGAGGGGGGUAGAAUUCCACGUGUAGCAGUGAAAUGCGUAGAUAUGUGGAGGAAUACCGAUGGCGAAGGCAGCCCCCUGGGUCGAUACUGACGCUCAUGCACGAAAGCGUGGGGAGCAAACAGG